ACCGCCUUAAAAUAAUUUGUGGUCUACUGGAGACAAUAAGACACUCUUGGCUAAGUGAUGACAAUGAGGCUCUGGCACAUCUGUUUCCUGUCAUCAGACUUCUUCAGCACAUGAAAGUGAAGACAACUGAAUCCUAUUGUCAGAUAUGGUGCGCAUCAGGACCACAAAUAGAACAGAACAAAAGUUGGACGGUAGAUUCUUUGGUAGAAUCGGAAGCAGGGAAACCACCUUGACACAUUGGCUUUCAGCGGAAUAGCAGGAAACUUAUAACACGUCACUGCAGUCAUCUCUUGCCGUGAUGAUUCCAUCCUAUUCCACUUCUCUGCCGAUUUCAAUCUCCAUCUGAAAAAAAAAGAAGAAAAAAACAAAUCAAAUCUAACAGAACCAUCUUCAGCAGCAAAUUAUAGCUGUGGAACUCUCAAACUGGACGGAAAGCAAGUUUUUUGUUGAUCUCUUUAACCGCAAAACGGUACAU
This is a long non-coding RNA of Argiope bruennichi, 475 nucleotides long. RefSeq lists it as uncharacterized. Lineage: Eukaryota; Metazoa; Arthropoda; Arachnida; Araneae; Araneidae. The record is from RefSeq and is a predicted model, not a curated record. The transcript has 4 exons.